This 343-nucleotide ribosomal RNA is filed under the name uncultured bacterium. RNAcentral's name for it is "bacterial SSU rRNA". It matches the Rfam family "Bacterial small subunit ribosomal RNA", at positions 29 to 371 of the family's 1533-position model. The record is from RNAcentral.
AACGAACGCUGGCGGAAUGCUUUACACAUGCAAGUCGAGCGGCAGCGCGGGGGCAACCCUGGCGGCGAGCGGCGAACGGGUGAGUAAUACAUCGGAACGUGUCCUUAAGUGGGGGAUAGCUCGGCGAAAGCCGGAUUAAUACCGCAUAAGCUCUGAGGAGGAAAGCGGGGGCUCCGUAAGGACCUCGCGCUGUUGGAGCGGCCGAUGUCGGAUUAGCUAGUUGGUGGGGUAAAGGCCCACCAAGGCGACGAUCCGUAGCUGGUCUGAGAGGAUGAUCAGCCACACUGGAACUGAGACACGGUCCAGACUCCUACGGGAGGCAGCAGUGGGGAAUUUUGGACAA